AAUCCUACUNAUUCGGAAGCANGGAAUCNCNGUACGNNAUGGUAAUAUUGAGGAUACAGUGGGAAGCCCUUCUGACAGUGACUGACGNUGAGCACNAAGCGUGGGAGCAAACANGAUUAGAUACCCUGGUAUUCACGCNNNAACGAUGAGUGNUANGUGUUGGGGGACACACCCCAGUGCCGAAGNAACCCAAUAAGCACUCCGCCUGGGAGUACGGUCGCAAGACUGAAACUCAAAGGAAUUGACGGGGGCCCGCACAAGCAGUGGAGCAUGUGGUUUAAUUCGAAGCAACGCGAAGAACCUUACCAGGGCUUGACAUCCCUCUGACCGGUGCAGAGAUGUACCUUCCCUUCGGGGCAGAGGAGACAGGUGGUGCAUGGUUGUCGUCAGCUCGUGUCGUGAGAUGUUGGGUUAAGUCCCGCAACGAGCGCAACCCUUGAUCUGUGUUACCAGCACGUAGAGGUGGGGACUCACAGGUGACUGCCGGCGUAAGUCGGAGGAAGGCGGGGAUGACGUCAAAUCAUCAUGCCCUUUAUGUCCUGGGCUACACACGUGCUACAAUGGGCGGUACAACGGGAAGCGAAGCCGCGAGGUGGAGCAAAACCUAAAAAGCCGUUCGUAGUUCGGAUUGCAGGCUGCAACUCGCCUGCAUGAAGCCGGAAUUGCUAGUAAUCGCGGAUCAGCAUGCCGCGGUGAAUCCGUUCCCGGGCCUUGUACACACCGCCCGUCACACCACGAGAGUCGGCAACACCCGAAGUCGGUGAGGUAACCGUUAUGGAGCCAGCCGCCGAAGGUGGGGUUGAUGAUUGGGGUGAAGUCGUAACAAGGUAGCCGA
This 835-nucleotide ribosomal RNA is filed under the name Alicyclobacillus sp. A-Gala 2-1. Its description in RNAcentral is "bacterial SSU rRNA". It matches the Rfam family "Bacterial small subunit ribosomal RNA", at positions 663 to 1503 of the family's 1533-position model. The record is from RNAcentral. Lineage: Bacteria; Bacillati; Bacillota; Bacilli; Caryophanales; Alicyclobacillaceae.